RNAcentral lists this transfer-messenger RNA (361 nucleotides) under Maricaulis sp. It matches the Rfam family "Alphaproteobacteria transfer-messenger RNA". Rfam says of the family: Bacterial tmRNA, also known as 10Sa RNA or SsrA, is named for its dual tRNA and mRNA-like properties. Its role is to liberate the mRNA from a stalled ribosome. The record is from RNAcentral. Lineage: Bacteria; Pseudomonadati; Pseudomonadota; Alphaproteobacteria; Maricaulales; Maricaulaceae.
CCCCUUCAUAUCCCCGGGUCUAUCCCCUAUAUCUGGAGGUGCCGGUUCGCCGGCUAUGGCGAUAAACGCGCUCGUAAUAACCGGACUGGACCCGGGGGCAGUACCCGGCGGCUCCACCAUAACCGCUCUGCGUUGGCAGACAUGCUUGGGGCCGAAACAGGAUUGACAGACGGGUAAAGGGGAUGGCUUUCGCUCGGGUGAGGCCCGUUACAGGCUCGCUUAUGAAAGUUGCCAACGACAACUUUGCUGAAGAGGUCGCUCUCGCUGCGUAAUGCAGCGCGGGUAAUCUCGCCUUAAAGUCCUGAUUCCUUUAGCCGAACCAGGCGGGGUCCGGAGGCACCUGGCAACAGAAGCCUCCACU